UGAACGCUGGCGGUAGGCCUAACACAUGCAAGUCGAACGGCAGCACAGUAAGAGCUUGCUCUUACGGGUGGCGAGUGGCGGACGGGUGAGGAAUACAUCGGAAUCUACUUUUUCGUGGGGGAUAACGUAGGGAAACUUACGCUAAUACCGCAUACGACCUACGGGUGAAAGCAGGGGAUCUUCGGACCUUGCGCGAUUGAAUGAGCCGAUGUCGGAUUAGCUAGUUGGCGGGGUAAAGGCCCACCAAGGCGACGAUCCGUAGCUGGUCUGAGAGGAUGAUCAGCCACACUGGAACUGAGACACGGUCCAGACUCCUACGGGAGGCAGCAGUGGGGAAUAUUGGACAAUGGGCGCAAGCCUGAUCCAGCCAUACCGCGUGGGUGAAGAAGGCCUUCGGGUUGUAAAGCCCUUUUGUUGGGAAAGAAAAGCAGCAGGUUAAUACCCCGCUGUUAUGACGGUACCCAAAGAAUAAGCACCGGCUAACUUCGUG
This 490-nucleotide ribosomal RNA is filed under the name uncultured bacterium. Its description in RNAcentral is "partial 16S ribosomal RNA". It matches the Rfam family "Bacterial small subunit ribosomal RNA", at positions 30 to 507 of the family's 1533-position model. The record is from RNAcentral.